Molecule: long non-coding RNA, 3705 nt
Organism: Hordeum vulgare subsp. vulgare (domesticated barley)
Lineage: Eukaryota; Viridiplantae; Streptophyta; Magnoliopsida; Poales; Poaceae
Exons: 5
Source: RefSeq, a predicted model, not a curated record
AACAAUUCGGCUCAACCCACGAACGCGUGCGACCCCCUUCCCAUCACGAUCCCACUUCUCCCCCUCCGUCACGAUCUGUCAAUCCCUCUCUCUCGGAUGAGAACGGCCCCGAUGAGGCGAUGAGAGCCGCUUCUUGCAGCCACAUCCACAUCUUAGACGGCAUGCGGCCGGGCAACUGCCGCCGAUGAGGCGAGGAUUUCCCUCCUGCAUCUCAACCGCUUCUUGCAACCACAUCCACAUCUUAGACGGCAUGCGGCCGGGCAACUGCCGCCGAUGAGGCGAGGAUUUCCCUCCUGCAUCUCCUCUUAGUCAUGUCCUCCGGUGUAGAGGUUUAGAGGGGCGGCACUCAGAGAAGACCAGAGGCGAGAUAGUACGGCGGCCGCCUGCCUCUCUCCGAUGCCCAUGCUCGAGCUCUCUCUCUCCGCCGCUCAUGCUCGUUCUCUCUCUCCGCCGUUCAUGUUCCUCUCUUCCUCCAGCCAUGUGCUCUCCGGCUAGCGAGGGGCAGAGGCAGAGCUGGAUGCAGCUCGGACACGACGCCAACGACCUUGAUUGCGGGGGGCGAAGAAGGAACAAGCCAGAUGGCCCGGUGAUGCUAGAUCUAUUGGCUGCCUCAAUCCCAUGACUUCGUUCCGAAUGACAGCAUAAGAGUGUCGCCCCAGCUGGCAGCGGAAGGCAGUGCCGGGAGAGGAGGCGCAGGCCAUUGCCAGGCAUGCUUUGCUCGAUUUUUUUAGGCUUCAGUGCUUUCUAUGAAUACACGUAACAUGUGUUGACUUGGUCUAUUAGAAAGAGAGUAUGAAUGUUGUAACUGGAAGAGCAGGGAUUGUUGCGGGGUGGAUGUGGUGCUUGCCUCUUGUCCUUCACUGCCCAGUUCACAAGCUGGCCAGCACAACCAAACACGGCCAGCCCCUCAUGACCUGCUCGUCUGCUCGAACCAGUAGGACAUGACGGAGGUGGCAUGGAGGUCCAGCAGUUGGUCAGAGCCUGUAGAUGUAAAUCUGGUGAUAGGCGGUGUGGCCAUGCCUUAGGGCACUGUCGCACAGACAGCUAGUAGCGGGAGCCAGCCAUGGACGACUCGGCAAGCAAGCAGCAAGCAAAAUUAAGGAAGGGUGAUGUAAGCCAGCGAUAGACGUUCACUGCUUCCACUGUUACUGUCGACACUGGGCGACACAAGCAGGCUACAUGAAAAGGUCGAUUCUUUUCUUCAUUUACCUUCCGAAAUUCCACUUCACUGGUUAAAGCACAUCUGAAAUUUGUAGUAUAUGUAACUCCAUGCUGACCAUGCCUGAUAAUAAAAGUGGUAUAUAUGUAUCUGCUGAUUUUGUCAUUAACGUAAACAGAAUUAUGCAUCUCCAUAGUAGCUAUGCCUACUGAUAUACUGUUUUAACUUGGGAGUAGUAUAAAUGGUUUAGAAUUUAAAUUAUUUUGUGCUCUCCUUAACUAGGCCCGUCCAUUGUUUUCUUUCUAGCUCCGCCACUAUCUAUGUCACAUGAUAUUCUCCCCCACGCAGCAGGGCGCAUCAUCGGUUUGCUCACAAGCUCCCAACGGAUGUUCUCAGUGAUCCCCAUGCCUCCUUUCCUAUUGUUACUCUCCUCCCCCACCAGCUGAAAUGUCCCUGUCAUGUCGGGAUGCAAGGGCAGGGCACACGUCCAUGGCGCGUCUGCAUCAGUCUGCAACGUUCGUAACUCUAAACGCAGGAUUACCAGUGCACCGCGACCGCGACUUUUUGGCUACCGAUAUGAUCUUUCUCUCUGCAUACUGGUUCUGCACACAACAACCACAUCAUUUUGGCAAAAAGGUUCACAACCUCCCUAUCAAGAAUAAAGUGGUUCAGAAACUUCUAAUUGUAAGUUCAGAGGUGUAUCUAAUCGAGAAAUGCUACCCAUCACAAAAGUAUACGAUGUCCUUGAAAUCAAGCUCAGCUUAUGCUAAUAGAGCAAGCAGUAGGAACAUCUUUCUAUCCAUGCACGCAUAAUUUGUAGCGGAAAGAAUGAGGCUAGCGAGCAACACAAACAAAUCUUAAGAUUCCUCUCAUAUUUAAAACACACUUGGACAAGAAAAGCAUCCACACUAUUGAUACAUGAAUGCCAUGCUUAUUAAAAGUGCACCGACCUGGUAUGUGUUACUUGUAAGAUCAAUACACAAUGACUGAAUGAACAUGACAUUACUGAGGAAAUCCACCCACUUGGCCAUGUAUUGGACUGCGGCAGCAAACUGCACAGACUGAGCUAAAUUAAUGUUUUUCUGUAUUUCUAAUGGACAUGAAAAAUGCUUCUCUAUGGCAAAUUUGAGUGAGCUAAAGAAAUUAUAUUUAUUAUUUAGCAAACUUAAUAGAUUAGCAUGUUUGCAACAGGGCAAUAAUCAGUUGUUGCAUUAUACAUUAAUUAUUAUAUUUACUGAAACAUUAGGCGUGUCUAUGUGCACAACUAGGAUCUCAGGGAUCAAUGUCAUGUAUCAGUGCAUGAACUUACUUGAGCAUUGGUUGUUCUUUUCAAGGUCUAUAUAUGCUAUGGAUAUAAACCCAAGAGCUAUCAAGAUUGCAUGGAUAAAUCUUUAUUUGAAUGCACUAGAUGAUGAUGGUCUCCCAAUCUACGAUGCAGAGGGGAAAACAUUGCUUGAAUGCAUACCGCAAUGCAAUCUACGACGAAUUUGAUAUUCUUUCUUACUGUAGAGAUAACAAGAUAGAACUUGAUCACAUUGUUGGAUGCAUACCACAGGUAUAGUCAGGUUUUAGCAUCUGUUGUGAAAGGGGAUUAUAGUGGACCAAAACUUAAUGAAAAUGCUCUAGAUAUCUGAAUUAGAUUCUUAACCACAAUCAAAAGGCGAUGUCAAAGAUUUUAACCCAUUUCUUGAUGUCAAAGAUUCUUAACGAAAAUCCACCUAUUUCUUGAUGUUUUCUACUGUUGACCUAUUUGCAAGUUUUAACGAAGGAAUCAGUCCAGGAGUUACUCAUUUACUUUCUACAUCUGCAACAUAUUUUGUUCUUUCUUGUUAUUGUCAUUUAUUUCACUAAGACAUGGCUGGAGUGAAACACACUGAUACUAAUCUAAAAGGUCAUUGGUAUCACUUUAUUGUUGGAGGACAUGGUGAGAAAAUAUUUUUAUGUCUACUUAUUUUCUUUCCAGAAAAUCUGCCUCAUGCGGUGUUAAAAAUAUACUGGUUCUCAACAUGUUACUAGGAUUUAGUUGUACAAAAAGAUUUUUGUGCAUGACGACAACAUGGAGUUCUCAAAUAAUGUGUUGAUUCCUUGGCACCGCAUAAGUGUUUUCAAGCUUAUUCCAGGAGAUACACUUGCAUCUUUCAUCUAUGUGCCUUGUGAAGUUAUGAAACAACAAAUGCAUGUCCAAGGCUCCAUCAAAUCAUGAUCACGAGCAUUAAGUGGUAGAGAAGGAUACGAGUCACCUGUCAAGGCUGACACCUCAAUCUGCUCUGAAGAUGAAUCGGUGGAAGAUGGUGGCGGUGACACAUGUGAGUGCGUCGGACCGCUUUGUGCCCCGGACCCGGUAUGUGGCUCGUUCGGGACGUCUGGCUUUAGAUGUUGGCUUAGGUAAGAGGUGUGGGUAUUUGGCCCAGCUUGCACCCCUUCAUCAUAUAGAUAGGAGUAGCGGCAGAUGUUGCCAAGAUAGCGGAUUCAGGCAUAUUGUUGUAUUACUUUGUAAGGUCAUCAGGAAUAAUCAAUAAAAUGGUCGCAUGCAUUUCCUAGAUGCA